CAGUCGAGCGCCCCUCCUUCCAGCGAGCUUGGAGGAUUGCGGAGCGGUCUCCUGGGCGGGCGAAAGCUCGCUUGAAGGACAUCGUUUUGAGAUCAAGCGAGCCUUUAGGGGCUCGCUUGAUGGAGGGGAGCGGCAGACGGGAGAGUAACACGUGGGAACGUACCCUUUGGCUCGGAACAACCCAGGGAAACUUGGGCUAAUACCGAAUAAGCCCUUACGGGGAAAGAUUUAUCGCCGAAGGAUCGGCCCGCGUCUGAUUAGCUAGUUGGUGAGGUAACGGCUCACCAAGGCGACGAUCAGUAGCUGGUCUGAGAGGAUGAUCAGCCUCACUGGGACUGAGACACGGCCCAGACUCCUACGGGAGGCAGCAGUGGGGAAUAUUGGACAAUGGGCGCAAGCCUGAUCCAGCCAUGCCGCGUGGGUGAUGAAGGCCCUAGGGUUGUAAAGCCCUUUCGGCGGGGAAGAUAAUGACGGUACCCGCAGAAGAAGCCCCGGCUAACUUCGUGCCAGCAGCCGCGGUAAUACGAAGGGGGCUAGCGUUGCUCGGAAUCACUGGGCGUAAAGCGCACGUAGGCGGAUUGCUAAGUCAGGGGUGAAAUCCUGGAGCUCAACUCCAGAACUGCCUUUGAUACUGGUGAUCUUGAGUCCGGGAGAGGUGAGUGGAACUGCGAGUGUAGAGGUGAAAUUCGUAGAUAUUCGCAAGAACACCAGUGGCGAAGGCGGCUCACUGGCCCGGUACUGACGCUGAGUGCGAAAGCGUGGGGAGCAACAGGAUUAGAUACCCUGGUGUCCACGCCGUAAACGAUGGAUGCUAGCCGUUGGUGGGUUUACCCUUCAGUGGCGCAGCUAACGCAUU
Molecule: ribosomal RNA, 856 nt
Filed under: uncultured bacterium
Lineage: Bacteria
Description: bacterial SSU rRNA
Rfam family: Bacterial small subunit ribosomal RNA
Source: RNAcentral